AACGAACGCUGGCGGCAUGCCUAACACAUGCAAGUCGAGCGGAAGCUUCGGGUCUGCUCGUGCACUGAUCGGUGACCCGGGGGGACCUGCCCUUAAGUCUGGCAGGACGCCCCGGAUGGGGUGCUAAUACCGGCUAAUAUCUUGCGACCAAAGAUUUAUCGCCUUUGGAGGGGCCCCGGUUGUAUUAGCUUGUUGGUAGCGUAAAAGCCUACCAAGGCGACGAGCCAUAGCUGGUUUGAGAGGAUGAUCAGCGACACUGGGACUGAGACACGGCCCAGACUACUACGGGAGGCAGCAGUGGGGAAUAUUGGACAAUGGGCGAAAGCAUGAUCCAGCUAUGCCGCGUGAGUGAUGAAGGCCUUAGGGUUGUAAAGCUCUUUUACCCGGGACGAUAAUGACAGUACCGGGAGAAUAAGCUCCGGCUAACUCCGUG
Molecule: ribosomal RNA, 433 nt
Filed under: uncultured bacterium
Lineage: Bacteria
Description: partial 16S ribosomal RNA
Rfam family: Bacterial small subunit ribosomal RNA
Source: RNAcentral